GACGAACGCUGGCGGCGUGCUUAACACAUGCAAGUCGAACGGAAAGGCCCUGCUUUUGUGGGGUGCUCGAGUGGCGAACGGGUGAGUAACACGUGAGUAACCUGCCCUUGACUUUGGGAUAACUUCAGGAAACUGGGGCUAAUACCGGAUAGGAGCUCCUGCUGCAUGGUGGGGGUUGGAAAGUUUCGGCGGUUGGGGAUGGACUCGCGGCUUAUCAGCUUGUUGGUGGGGUAGUGGCUUACCAAGGCUUUGACGGGUAGCCGGCCUGAGGGGGUGACCGGCCAGAUUGGGACUGAGAUACGGCCCAGACUCCUACGGGAGGCAGCAGUGGGGAAUAUUGCACAAUGGGCGGAAGCCUGAUGCAGCAACGCCGCGUGCGGGAUGACGGCCUUCGGGUUGUAAACCGCUUUCGCCUGUGACGAAGCGUGAGUGACGGUAAUGGGUAAAGAAGCACCGGCUAACUACGUG
Molecule: ribosomal RNA, 468 nt
Filed under: uncultured bacterium
Lineage: Bacteria
Description: partial 16S ribosomal RNA
Rfam family: Bacterial small subunit ribosomal RNA
Source: RNAcentral